AAGUCGUAACAAGGUUUCCGUAGGUGAACCUGCGGAAGGAUCAUUACAGAGUUCAUGCCUUUGCAGGUAGAUCUCCCACCCUUGAAUACAUACCUUUGUUGCUUUGGCGGGCCACGUCCGCGUGUCGGCUUCGGCUGGCUGCGCCCGCCAGAGGACCCAAACUCGUUUUGUUUAGUGAUGUCUGAGUACUAUAUAAUAGUUAAAACUUUCAACAACGGAUCUCUUGGUUCUG
RNAcentral lists this unclassified non-coding RNA (232 nucleotides) under Hyaloscypha sp. Its description in RNAcentral is "partial contains small subunit ribosomal RNA, internal transcribed spacer 1, and 5.8S ribosomal RNA". The stretch from base 1 to 46 matches the Rfam family "Eukaryotic small subunit ribosomal RNA", at positions 1786 to 1831 of the family's 1831-position model. The record is from RNAcentral. Lineage: Eukaryota; Fungi; Ascomycota; Leotiomycetes; Helotiales; Hyaloscyphaceae.